RNAcentral lists this transfer RNA (97 nucleotides) under Polynucleobacter paneuropaeus. Its description in RNAcentral is "tRNA-Trp". The record is from RNAcentral. Lineage: Bacteria; Pseudomonadati; Pseudomonadota; Betaproteobacteria; Burkholderiales; Burkholderiaceae.
GCGCUUUGGACCCUGGUCCUCAUCCUUCCAUUUGGAGUUUGGGUUGCCCAUAGCCUCCAAAGCAGGGUCGCAGGUUCGAUUCCUGCCGGGCGCGCCA